UACAGAGGUCUCAAGCGUUGUUCGGAUUCAUUGGGCGUAAAGGGUGCGUAGGUGGCGCUGUAAGUCGGGUGUGAAAUUUCGGAGCUUAACUCCGAAACUGCAUUCGAUACUGCGGUGCUUGAGGACUGGAGAGGAGACUGGAAUUCAUGGUGUAGCAGUGAAAUGCGUAGAGAUCAUGAGGAAGACCAGUGGCGAAGGCGGGUCCCUGGACAGUUCCUGACACUGAGGCACGAAGGCCAGGGGAGCAAACGGG
Molecule: ribosomal RNA, 253 nt
Filed under: uncultured bacterium
Lineage: Bacteria
Description: partial 16S ribosomal RNA
Rfam family: Bacterial small subunit ribosomal RNA
Source: RNAcentral